CGGGUAUUACAUUCUUCCCCCCUUUAAGAACAUUCGUCCUCGAAUGUUCAAACAACCAAACAUGCAUCAAGCAUACAUCAACAAGCAAGCAAAACCUAAAAACCUCUCUUCUAAAAGAGAGACACGGUUAUUGCUGGAGUACAAACUCCUGGUCUCCCUGGUGCACUUUCCAUCUUAAGGCGAUUCUAAGGGGCUUUCACCAUUGGUAUUUCCUUGUUUCCACACUUUCUGACUUGUGCGUCUGCAGUCCGUACUAGCUGCUCAACAUAGGUGAGAUCCUCUACGGUCUCCACCUCUGGUUCCUUUAAGAACCUCACUCGGACCCGACACGAACUCAUAUAUCGUGGAAACGUGGAAAAACGAAUGGAUCUCUUCCAUUGAAGUGGGUAAAUCUAACUCGUGGGAUACAUUCCCAAAUCCUUUGCAGGAUUUCAAGGAGUCCAAUGCAUCUGCGAGCUAAUUUAUCUUUCUGCCCACAACGAAUCACCCUCUCUUUAGGAGACACCUCCAGCAACCCUCAACUUCCUCGAGAACUUCAACACGCUUCCGCUGCGCACUUUGACAAAACUCUUCU
This 574-nucleotide long non-coding RNA is filed under the name Manihot esculenta (cassava). RNAcentral's name for it is "long non-coding RNA (MESC_LNC002904)". The record is from RNAcentral. Lineage: Eukaryota; Viridiplantae; Streptophyta; Magnoliopsida; Malpighiales; Euphorbiaceae.